RNAcentral lists this non-coding RNA (22 nucleotides) under Arabidopsis thaliana (thale cress). The record is from RNAcentral. Lineage: Eukaryota; Viridiplantae; Streptophyta; Magnoliopsida; Brassicales; Brassicaceae.
UGAGGAUGAUACAGAAUACCGC